AGUGAACGCUGGCGGUAGGCCUAACACAUGCAAGUCGAACGGCAGCACAGUAAGAGCUUGCUCUUACGGGUGGCGAGUGGCGGACGGGUGAGGAAUACAUCGGAAUCUACUUUUUCGUGGGGGAUAACGUAGGGAAACUUACGCUAAUACCGCAUACGACCUACGGGUGAAAGCAGGGGAUCUUCGGACCUUGCGCGAUUGAAUGAGCCGAUGUCGGAUUAGCUAGUUGGCGGGGUAAAGGCCCACCAAGGCGACGAUCCGUAGCUGGUCUGAGAGGAUGAUCAGCCACACUAGAACUGAGACACGGUCCAGACUCCUACGGGAGGCAGCAGUGGGGAAUGUUGGACAAUGGGCGCAAGCCUGAUCCAGCCAUACCGCGUGGGUGAAGAAGGCCUUCGGGUUGUAAAGCCCUUUUGUUGGGAAAGAAAAGCAGCAGGUUAAUACCCCGCUGUUCUGACGGUACCCAAAGAAUAAGCACCGGCUAACUUCGUG
This 492-nucleotide ribosomal RNA is filed under the name uncultured bacterium. RNAcentral's name for it is "partial 16S ribosomal RNA". It matches the Rfam family "Bacterial small subunit ribosomal RNA", at positions 29 to 507 of the family's 1533-position model. The record is from RNAcentral.